GGGGAUGUAGCUCAUCUGGUAGAGCGCGUGCUUAGCAUUACACUUCAUGUUCCUGCACGAGGUACUGGGUUCGACUCCCAGCUUCUCCA
RNAcentral lists this transfer RNA (89 nucleotides) under Coniochaeta pulveracea. It matches the Rfam family "tRNA". Rfam says of the family: Transfer RNA (tRNA) molecules are approximately 80 nucleotides in length. Their secondary structure includes four short double-helical elements and three loops (D, anti-codon, and T loops). The record is from Rfam by way of RNAcentral. Lineage: Eukaryota; Fungi; Ascomycota; Sordariomycetes; Coniochaetales; Coniochaetaceae.